Long non-coding RNA from Brassica napus (rape), 2009 nucleotides. RefSeq lists it as uncharacterized. NCBI's taxonomy places the organism in Eukaryota, Viridiplantae, Streptophyta, Magnoliopsida, Brassicales, Brassicaceae. The transcript is spliced from 3 exons. The record is from RefSeq and is a predicted model, not a curated record.
GAAAGGUUGUGAAAUGAGUCUUCCUGAUUAAACUUUGCACCGAUCUCUGCUAUUCAAUGAUUGAAUCAUUGCAUUAGUCCGAAUCGAAGCGUCACCUUCAACGGGCUCAUUAUCAAUUUUUUCUCCACUCCUCCCACGAUCUAUCAUUUAAUGCAUCUCCCUUCGUUUUUUUUUCUCAGAAUCUGCGACUAUCAAAAGGUUAGUUCACAAAGAAGAUAUGAAAAAAAUAAAAUCGAGGAGGAUAGAAAGGAGUAAUCUAAAAUUAAAAACGAUGGUGAUAAAGUGAUUAUUGAUCUGAAAACUAAGCCAAAUCUGAAGAAUCUAACGAGGUUAAAUCAGAGGAAGAGAUUACAAGUGAAAAAAGCAAAGCUUAAACUGAAACUAAAAGAUUAAAGCUAAGGUGAAGAUGAAGAGACUGAGACGAUCCAGUAAAAAUGCAACAGUCACUGGAAAAUCCAGUAUUCUUGAUGAGAUUAUCAGGCAUGUUCUAUAUCCAGAAACAAGUUGAGGCCAGGUAUUGUGAAUCUUCCUUCCAUUGAGAAGUAAUUGGUAGCUGCUACAAGGAUAACUGCAUAACUUAUGGUCAAAACCGCAUAUUUCCAGGGAACUAUAAAUCUUCAUGAAAGAUAAAUUCUUGGACCCUUACGAUGUUGUUUUUGUUACAUAUCAAGAUUGCUCUAGCCUUUGAUUUUAAUGUUACUGUCUUGGGGUAAGUAGAAUUGAAACUGAUUAUGUAUGAAGUUUUCUAUAUAGAAUCAGUCUCGCAAAUUGCAAAAUCUGAAUCUAUUUUCAUUCAAAAAAAUAAAAAAAAUAUGAAUCUAUUUCUAAUACAACUUACAAUACCAACGCCUUACUUAGGACUUUGGAGUAACUAUAAACUCUGACGGUAUUAGGCAACCCAUUGUCUGUGCUUUGCUUUAGUAUGGCUAAUCUGAUUCGCUUCGUGUGUGUUAAUAACUUUUCCUCUGGUUCCAUGAUAUUUGAAGUUCUUUUCAUGAAUGCUUUCAGGUACCAGUUGAUAAGAAUACCUUCUAUAGGUUCGGGCACCUACAAAUUUGUAGAUUUGUUCGAAGACGUUGGGACAGCUGUGUUUGUUGAUUAAAUGAGAGACUACGGACCAGAUUUCAGAAAACAAUAACAACAACAACAAGAUGUGACUCACCGAAAAACUCUUUGAAAGCACACUCAGUCCAUCUUUGAGCACAUGGACUUCCUCUUGAUACUCACCAAUUACAACAACAGUAAGUCAAUAACCCAACUUUGGGCCAGCUCGCGCUCCACUACAUGGCAGUAGCGGUUUUACUCUUAGCCGUGAAAAAACUGUUUAUUUCAUCAAGAAAAUGUUUGGACCCGAACAGUGUCAAUUCCUCUCUCAAGUUAGCUAUGGAGUUCUGAAUUGGAGUUAGGAGACAACAAACAUUUACAUGAGUGAAUUGUCACCGAGCCAAGUUUCUUCCCAACUUAAUUUUCGCACUAAAAAUGUCUAAUGUAAAUAGUGACCAAGCAGGGGAGAGGGGAAGGAGUAUCAGCGGAGGUGAAGAAGAUGAGAGAGGAAGUAUAAUGUGUGUAGGAUGAUCCAGUGAAGAUCGUGUGUGAAAAGAAAGAGUUGAUGAGGAAGAAGGCAUUGGAGCUGAAGGAGUGGAAAUUGGGUACCAGUGGUAGGCAGUGGAGAUGGAAAAGCAGAGAGUGAGGUGGAUGAGAUAGCGUAGCAAGAGAGAAAUGGAUAAGGUUAUGCGAGAGAACUUGCGAGGAAGGCUUGAGAUGGAAAGGAUGGUUCAUAUUAUGAGGCGGAGAGAUAUGGUUAGCGGAGUUAAAGUCGUGUAAAAAAGUUGAACCGAGUUCUGCAAUUGGUGAGCUGAUUAAUGUUAGGAGGAUACUGACACUGUCGACAUAAUCAGAAAAGGCAAAACGUAUUUGCAUGAUUGAUUAGAAGAGAUUAAGCAUAUUUAGAGUUAUAUUUUUUGAGUUUGGUGCAAACAAAUUCAACAAAUAAAAAUUCAGUUGAAAUA